Non-coding RNA from Chiloscyllium plagiosum (whitespotted bambooshark), 562 nucleotides. The record is from RefSeq and is a predicted model, not a curated record. NCBI's taxonomy places the organism in Eukaryota, Metazoa, Chordata, Chondrichthyes, Orectolobiformes, Hemiscylliidae.
GUUAGUUUGAGGAGCAGGGGGCUCAGUGAAGCUCUGUGAGCCAUUUGGUAGCUGCCCUUUGAUUUGGGGCUUAAAGAAGUUUAUCAGGAGCUGAGAUGACAUUGGAAGGUCACUGGCUUUGUGUAAAAGAUCAUCUCAUCAAAAUCAAGGAUAACCAAAUUACGAUUUAUCAAGCCAAAGCAAGUUGUUGAAAACUGAACAGUAAAUUAGUGGUAACAAUAGGGAUACCUAAAGAGUCUUUGGAAAAUAAUGCACUAACAAACAAGAGGGUAGUAAAACAGUAACAAUGUACAGGUAUGAAAUGUUUCCUCAAGAUCCUUCUAGAAUAGGGAUAUCAUUGAAUAUUGUGAAGGGGACUCUUCCUUGAAUACUGCUAACAGGAGUCAGGCUCCUCGAAGGAAAAUGCUUUGAUGGAAGGAAAAAUUAAUAUUAAUGGGAGUAUUUAGAGAAAGUAUGGACCUGUUUGCUUUUGCAGAAUUAGCCUAUUAGCAAAUGGAAUUCUUUCUGUGGGAAAUGGUUCUAUUUACCUCUGGAUCGGAUAUAAAUUUUACACUGGUUAAUG